GAUGAACGCUGGCGGCGUGCCUAAUACAUGCAAGUCGAGCGAACGGACGAGAAGCUUGCUUUUCUGAUGUUAGCGGCGGACGGGGGAGUAAAACGUGGAUAACCUACCUAUAAGACUGGGAUAACUUCGGGAAAACGGAGCUAAUAACCGCUAAUAUUUUGAACCGCAUGGUUCAUAAGUGAAAGACGGUCUUGCAGUCACUUAUAGAUGGAUCCGCGCUGCAUUAGCUAGUUGGUAAGGUAACGGCUUACCAAGGCAACGAUGCAUAGCCGACCUGAGAGGGUGAUCGGCCACACUGGAACUGAGACACGGUCCAGACUCCUACGGGAGGCAGCAGUAGGGAAUCUUCCGCAAUGGGCGAAAGCCUGACGGAGCAACGCCGCGUGAGUGAUGAAGGUCUUCGGAUCGUAAAACUCUGUUAUUAGGGAAGAACAUAUGUGUAAGUAACUGUGCACAUCUUGACGGUACCUAAUCAGAAAGCCACGGCUAACUACGUG
RNAcentral lists this ribosomal RNA (497 nucleotides) under uncultured bacterium. RNAcentral's name for it is "partial 16S ribosomal RNA". It matches the Rfam family "Bacterial small subunit ribosomal RNA", at positions 28 to 507 of the family's 1533-position model. The record is from RNAcentral.